This 503-nucleotide ribosomal RNA is filed under the name uncultured bacterium. RNAcentral describes it as "partial 16S ribosomal RNA". It matches the Rfam family "Bacterial small subunit ribosomal RNA", at positions 30 to 523 of the family's 1533-position model. The record is from RNAcentral.
AUUGAACGCUGGCGGCAGGCUUAACACAUGCAAGUCGAGCGGGGAAAGGUAGCUUGCUACUGGACCUAGCGGCGGACGGGUGAGUAAUACUUAGGAAUCUGCCUAUUAGUGGGGGACAACAUUUCGAAAGGAAUGCUAAUACCGCAUACGUCCUACGGGAGAAAGCAGGGGAUCACUUGUGACCUUGCGCUAAUAGAUGAGCCUAAGUCAGAUUAGCUAGUUGGGGGGGUAAAGGCCUACCAAGGCGACGAGCUGUAACGGGUCUGAGAGGAUGAGCCGUCACACUGGGACUGAGACACGGCCCAGACUCCUACGGGAGGAAGCAGUGGGGAAUAUUGGACAAUGGGGGGAACCCUGAUCCAGCCAUGCCGCGUGUGUGAAGAAGGCCUUUUGGUUGUAAAGCACUUUAAGCGAGGAGGAGGCUCUUUUGGUAAAUACCCAGAAUGAGUGGACGUUACUCGCAGAAUAAGCACCGGCUAACUCUGUGCCAGCCGCCGCCGUAA